This 253-nucleotide ribosomal RNA is filed under the name uncultured bacterium. Its description in RNAcentral is "partial 16S ribosomal RNA". It matches the Rfam family "Bacterial small subunit ribosomal RNA", at positions 524 to 776 of the family's 1533-position model. The record is from RNAcentral.
UACGGGGGGGGCAAGCGUUGUUCGGAAUUACUGGGCGUAAAGGGCGCGUAGGCGGGUGGACAAGUCUCUCGUGAAAGGCCACGGCUCAACCGUGGAAUUGCGGGAGAUACUGUCUGUCUUGAGUCCGGGAGAGGAGGGUGGAAUUCCCAGUGUAGCGGUGAAAUGCGUAGAUAUUGGGAGGAGCACCGGUGGCGAAGGCGGCUCUCUGGACCGGUACUGACGCUGAGGCGCGAAAGCUAGGGGAGUAAACGGG